RNAcentral lists this ribosomal RNA (254 nucleotides) under uncultured bacterium. RNAcentral describes it as "partial 16S ribosomal RNA". It matches the Rfam family "Bacterial small subunit ribosomal RNA", at positions 524 to 776 of the family's 1533-position model. The record is from RNAcentral.
UACGUAGGGGGCAAGCGUUAUCCGGAUUUACUGGGUGUAAAGGGAGCGUAGACGGCAGUGCAAGUCUGGAGUGAAAGGCGGGGGCUCAACCCCCCGGACUGCUCUGGAAACUGUACGGCUGGAGUGCAGGAGAGGUAAGUGGAAUUCCUAGUGUAGCGGUGAAAUGCGUAGAUAUUAGGAGGAACACCAGUGGCGAAGGCGGCUUACUGGACUGUAACUGACGUUGAGGCUCGAAAGCGUGGGGAGCAAACAGG